GGUGAGUAAUGUCUGGGAAACUGCCUGAUGGAGGGGGAUAACUACUGGAAACGGUAGCUAAUACCGCAUAACGUCGCAAGACCAAAGAGGGGGACCUUCGGGCCUCUUGCCAUCGGAUGUGCCCAGAUGGGAUUAGCUUGUUGGUGGGGUAACGGCUCACCAAGGCGACGAUCCCUAGCUGGUCUGAGAGGAUGACCAGCCACACUGGAACUGAGACACGGUCCAGACUCCUACGGGAGGCAGCAGUGGGGAAUAUUGCACAAUGGGCGCAAGCCUGAUGCAGCCAUGCCGCGUGUAUGAAGAAGGCCUUCGGGUUGUAAAGUACUUUCAGCGGGGAGGAAGGGAGUAAAGUUAAUACCUUUGCUCAUUGACGUUACCCGCAGAAGAAGCACCGGCUAACUCCGUGCCAGCAGCCGCGGUAAUACGGAGGGUGCAAGCGUUAAUCGGAAUUACUGGGCGUAAAGCGCACGCAGGCGGUUUGUUAAGUCAGA
Molecule: ribosomal RNA, 491 nt
Filed under: Escherichia coli
Lineage: Bacteria; Pseudomonadati; Pseudomonadota; Gammaproteobacteria; Enterobacterales; Enterobacteriaceae
Description: bacterial SSU rRNA
Rfam family: Bacterial small subunit ribosomal RNA
Source: RNAcentral